Long non-coding RNA from Pantherophis guttatus, 437 nucleotides. RefSeq lists it as uncharacterized. NCBI's taxonomy places the organism in Eukaryota, Metazoa, Chordata, Lepidosauria, Squamata, Colubridae. The record is from RefSeq and is a predicted model, not a curated record.
CAAAUAAAACACAGAAUUUCCCUUCUUGUUUGUUUUGACUUGAUGAUCCUUAAACUAUUUUGAUUGUUUCAGUCAUUAGAAUGCAGUAUUGCAGGCUAAUUCUGCCGAUUGCCAGGAGUUUGAUUCUCACCAGCUCAAGGUUGACUCAGCCUUCCAUUCUUCCGAGGAGUUUGUUCCAAAGGAAGGUUGGUAGAAGUGUAAAGAAGUUUUGGAUCCAGGAGUCUAAUGUUAAUGGUAAAUUUCUAGUCGUCAAACUUUCUACCAAAGGAAUCAGGCCUCCAUGGUGAUUAUCAGGCCUCCAUCAACACAGCUCUUCAUCAAUGGAACAGUUCCUCCAUUCUAUUUAUGUAUAUAUUACAUUUGUAAUCUGCUUUCUAUCAAUAAAUCCAGCCUGUGGUAGCUAGCUAAUAAUACAAAAUAAAACAUUCUUUUAAAAC